RNAcentral lists this long non-coding RNA (560 nucleotides) under Homo sapiens (human). Its description in RNAcentral is "HSALNT0075477". The record is from RNAcentral. Lineage: Eukaryota; Metazoa; Chordata; Mammalia; Primates; Hominidae.
CUUAAGUAAAUAUAUUUCAAUAUACAAAUAUAAAAUUUUAAAGUAAAAAUGAAUAUGUAUGAGAUUUAUAUGGAUAUGUGGAAGAAGACACAAUGUAUAGUCAUCACCAAGAUUGGAGGCUGUCCACCUGAGGCAGGGCACCUGCUGCUCUGUUGUCCUGUUGGCAUCUUCUGAAGUAUGACCAGAGUGAAGAGUCAUUAUCAAAGGUGGUCAUCCGUUGACAAAAUAGAGACAUAAGAACAUUUGCAGGAUGGCCUAGAUUUCCUUACGGCAUCGAGGACGAGAUCCAAGACAGCAAAAGCAGACUCUGCCAAGCCUCUUAAUGGCAAGGCCCUGAAGCAGCAGAGCUUCACUUCUGCCACCUCCUAUUGGUUAAAGCCUGUCACAAAGCCUGUCGAGAUUCAGAAAAAGAGAGAUAGAACCCACCUCCUGAUAGAAAAAAGCUGCACAUGCAUAAAGAAAGGAGAGGAUUUGACAGCUAUCUUUGAAGAGUAUCUGCCCCAUUAAGCCAUGGGAUAUUUUCCCCAUAAAAGAAAGGACUAUGAUCUGGAUUGUAGAAA